UUUACCCAAAAUAACAAUUAAGAAAAUGGGUUAAUUUCGCUCUCCUUCUUCCCAGUUUGAAUCCGCCACUCCUUUUCAUUUCUCUACACUGUUUAAAUCGGAAAGUUCAGCUGCUCCGGCGAAAAUCCGGCAACUAACAGAUUAAGAAACACUCCAAGAAGAGUUAUUUCAAAUGUCUGGUUUGGGUGCUUCCAAAGUAUUCCGUGUGGUAGCUACAGCUGCUGCUACAGUUCUUGGUGGAAGUUUCGCUAUCGGUUUUCUGAGCUCUUCCGUUUCUGAUCGCAUCGCCUCGAUUAAAAAGGUCAGUUUUGCAGACAAAAUACGGGAAAUCGUGUCGGAAUUGUAAAGCAAUAGGGUACUACAAGUGCAAGCUGUGUGAAGGGAAUGGCACGAUAAAGUGGUCCCCGCUCUAUGAUCCAAUUUUUAUCAAUCCAUGUGUUUGCCCUACUUGUGAUGGAUUCAAGGUUCAAAGAUGCCUCAACUGCUUGGGAUAUGGCUCUGUAUAGAAAAAAAAAAACCAGGGGCAGGGUGUAAGUAAUUGGUUUCUGACUAUUGUUUUUUAGAGUUUAUGGUCAUUUUCUUGAAUUAUUAAUUUUUUUUUUGUUUGAGAAAUAAUUAUUAAUUAAACAUAUGUGAUGUUUAGCAUGUAACUUUGAGUUUGGGCUUGGAUCCACAAUUUUGGUGUUGGGCUUUGAGUAAAUUAAUCGAAGCUUAACAAAUUAAA
Non-coding RNA from Erythranthe guttata (spotted monkey flower), 724 nucleotides. The record is from RefSeq and is a predicted model, not a curated record. NCBI's taxonomy places the organism in Eukaryota, Viridiplantae, Streptophyta, Magnoliopsida, Lamiales, Phrymaceae.